AGGGACUACACACCGGUAGCGGUGAGGGACGCAUGGAAUCGCUGCAGGGGCCCGUCCACCGAAGCAACGCUGAACUUAAAAAGAGCAGUGUUCGAUCACACCUAUGGAAUUGGCCAGGUUUUGAUGGCAAGCUAGGAACCCUGCAUUGAGGCAACACGCCUGGAAGUUGGAAGCCCAGAUAACUGAUGAGCUGUUACCCACCUGCUCUGCUCUGACCGGGCUGGUAGGAGGCUUUGCAGCCGUCCUUUUACUUUUUGUCUCUUUGGCCUUCAUAAAAAUCUUCACUCCUUUCCUCCACUCCUGAACCUCUGGACACUGGAUUACUGGGCCAUUGGACUGUUGUAUGUUUUUGGGACUCUCGAUAUAUGAGAUGAAUGUGUUUUGUAAAUUGAGCUCAUUGAAAUGUAAAUUUGUAAAUUAGUGUUGUGAAUUGUAUUGUUCUGGUUUUUCACUUUAUAAUAUAUGGUACCGCCACUGCUGCAAAUUGUGUGCUCGCCUCUUUUCCAUCUCACUCCCAGAGCCGAAAUCUGGAUUUUUCUGAGUCUAGCCUAGAAAUAACAAUUACAAUUAAAGUGUCUAAAGCUAAUAUUAAAUGUACUAGCGCAUUGUACACGCUACACUGGGCUCAUUAGCACAUCGUAUGUGAGGCAGCUUCCCUCCAGCGCAAGAGAAUCAGGCCAUGUGCCAACAGUGUAGUAAAAGCAACUAUGCUGUGCCCCCCCCCAGAGGGCCAAAAUAUCCCUUCUGAAAUAUCAAUACCAAAAGAUCUGGAGUUUGAGAUUUGAGUUUCCAAUACGACGCAAGGGGAAGCUAGGACAAAGCCAGAACGUGUGAAUCAACCUUGCACCCCCCCCCCAGCCCACACCUGUCACAUGCGGGACGGGUAAAUCUGCGGAGAGGUUUCAGCUAAUUUAACUUUAGAAUAAUGCACUCCGAGCGCCACUUUCAAGGGGAUCAAAGGGUGUCCAGCACACAUUGAUGAUGGGUGCACCCCCCUUCCCCCUUUAACGCCGUCCAUCAUCCAGCAGACCUGCCAGCCUCACUUUGAUGGGUCACUCCAUUGGGCGGAAUGAUAACACCACAGAGCAAACGGACUCCUUGGUUUCACACAAUGUUGUACAAAAACUUUUUGGCCUCAAAAACCGCAUCAUAAAUUUUCCCUCGCAUAUAUCGGAUGGCCGCAUCGUGGCGCU
Non-coding RNA from Doryrhamphus excisus (bluestripe pipefish), 1193 nucleotides. The record is from RefSeq and is a predicted model, not a curated record. NCBI's taxonomy places the organism in Eukaryota, Metazoa, Chordata, Actinopteri, Syngnathiformes, Syngnathidae.